AGCUGCGUGGUGAGCACAAAGCGAACUAUUCUUUCGCCUUUUACUAAAGAAUACCGUGUGCGCGCCACAAUUAGCAGCAUACGCUAAAUUUAAAUUUAAAGCUUUGUUUUACUAAAUCU
Oryza sativa Japonica Group (Japanese rice) is the source of this 119-nucleotide non-coding RNA. The record is from Rfam. NCBI's taxonomy places the organism in Eukaryota, Viridiplantae, Streptophyta, Magnoliopsida, Poales, Poaceae.